UGUAACAGCAUCUCCAUUUGGAA
This 23-nucleotide microRNA is filed under the name Monopterus albus (swamp eel). RNAcentral's name for it is "Mal-Mir-194-P4a_5p (mature (guide))". Lineage: Eukaryota; Metazoa; Chordata; Actinopteri; Synbranchiformes; Synbranchidae. The record is from RNAcentral.